This is a long non-coding RNA of Phlebotomus papatasi, 3351 nucleotides long. RefSeq lists it as uncharacterized. Lineage: Eukaryota; Metazoa; Arthropoda; Insecta; Diptera; Psychodidae. The record is from RefSeq and is a predicted model, not a curated record. The transcript has 2 exons.
AUUUAUAUCUACACUUCUUGGAUUUAUGUCCACCAUUUCUUCAGUGGAAAAAGAUCCCUAUUGUAGUUAUCAAUUUAUGUAGGUCUUGUCUUCUAAAGCCUAAUAUCUAAUUAAAAAAAUGCAAUGUUUAGUGCUACCCUGUCUUUACUUCUGUCGAAGUUUACCUUACACGCGAAUCCAAAAAAUCGAGUGCAGGUCAAAUCAUGGAAUUUUAAUGUAGAAUAAUAAUUAUAACAAGGCACUCAAUGGGUCAAGUGGUAGAGCACUCGCUCUAUGAUGCAAGUGUCCUAGGUUCUAAUCCCCUUUAGGUCACCAGGAAUUUUUCUGGCGUUAAAGGUGUUCAAAUUGCAUCCAGUGAACUUCACUGCACUUGAUUCAACAGGCAUGGGACUGACAACCUCAUCCCGUAUUAGAAAAAAAAAUUGCAUGUCUAGAAAUCCCCCUGCUGGAAGGCCUAGUUCCUUCAUGGAAUGUUGUGCCAGCAUUAUUAUUAUUAUUAUUAAUAAUAAUAAUUAUAAUAAUAAUCAUUUGAUUGGUUAGGAAACGGGUGACAGUCACAGGGGUCAGGAGGGAGAUAAUCCUUGUAUACGCACAGGAGAUUUUCCUCAAAUAAGUUACAGAACGCUGUAAAAUAUGCAAAAAAAAUUUUUGCGCUUAAUUAUUCACCUAUUUUCGGUGCUAAAAUUGUUAGAAUAAAAACAUAUUCACACUCCUAAUAGACAUAUAAAUCCUUGACCUUACACAUUUUAUUUAAAAUUGAAACAAAGAAUACAAAAAAACAUUUACCGUUUUUUUCUGAACUAUAGAUUCUACUAAAAUAACUAAUUUUUUUUUAUUAUCGACAGUGAUUAGGGGAACUGUUUGUAAUUUGGAACAGCUUGUAAUUUCGGACACUUAGAGGGUAGAAUUGGACAUUACAUAUAAAUUGAUUAAUAUUAUGAAAUUUUCUUUUAAUAUUUAAUGAAUAAUGUAUUCUGUCUAAAUAUUUAUUCAUUUUAGAAGAAUUUAAUACUAAAUUAGUUGAAUCUUGAAGUUGUUGAAACGCAGUGUGAGCAGUUUGUUACGAGAACUAUAACAGAAUUUUGUGUAAACUUCAGCCUUAUUCAUCUGUGGUGAAGCACUACUAAUUUUUCUUCGAUAUUUUUAAGUGAUAUUAUUAAAUAUUUAUUGUAUAGAGUAAGAUAGGGUAAUUUGAAAUCAUUUAUAAUUUGGAACCGUAAGAUUUUCUAAUAGUUUUAGAUGGAAAAAGGAAAAAACAACGAAGUACACUCGAAUGUGAAGUCUUGUACUUCUUCGUGGUUUUCGUUUUCCCUUUGACUGUCUGAAACAGUGAGAAAAUAUCAAAAUUUCAAAAUGGACAUUAUUCCAAAUUACCCCAUCUCACCCUAUUGUUUUAAUUCUCGUUAAUGGUGAUUUGUUCAUUUGACCUGAAGUGAAAUUUGCCUGGUGAAUUACGUGUUUCGUAUGAAAAAUGGACAAUUUUGUCAGAAAUUUCUCCAGUGACGUGAUACUUGUUUUUUUUGUUCAGGUGGUUUUUUUCUCGAAAUUUUGUAAACUUUUAGUUUUUGAGAUGACUAGGUUGUAUAAAUGCCUGAAGAAGUAAAGGAGCACCAUAUUUACGAACAAAAUACAAUGCAAAAAGCAAGAGAAUGCGUGAAUCCUUGUACAGUUGGAGUGACGAAGUGAUCUCUCUUUAAUGAAUUAUAUGAAAGUUUUCAAACUUCUUGAAAUAUCCAAGAAGAAUGGGGUUCCACCCCAUAAUCAGGAAGAAGACUUGGUUCUUGAAAUAGACGAGAAUGGCUAUUCUAUUACGCCGAAUCAGCUGUCCGUAAUUACAAGCAAAGUGUCCAAAAUUACAAACAAGAUAUUCAAAAUUACAGUCAAAAUCAUCUCUACAUAUUUCUUCAUUUUUAAAUAUAUUUUUUUUUUGUUUUGUACAUUAUUCAGUUUACAAAUUUUAUUCAGUUUAUGAUAUAGUGUAAAAAUAUUUUUUAGAUACUUUAAUCUUUUUGAAUUGGGCGAUAUUUAAAAGCAUUUCCGUGGCAGUCAAGCCAGAGCUCUCACAGCCCUACCUUUUAUACUUUACACCACGGGACCCCCUAUACAAAAAAAAAAAAACAAAAAAAAAUAACAAAAUUUUCCAUGAUUCUAAACAUUGUUUAAUUAGGGUUGAUAUAAACUCAUUGAUAACUUUUAAAGGUCUUUUAUUAGAAAAUUAGAUUUCAAAAUAAAAAAAAACUGAUUUAGGAAGGUUAAAAAUCUAAAUAUUUCAGGUUAUAAACACAAGAUUAUAUGAAAUUCAAUUCCAGUGUUUUCAAAAUCUGACACACAAAUUUCUCUGAGUAUAAAAUCAUCCCGUCCAAUCGAGCUUUUACUCGUCUUCCCAGAAAUAUCGGUUUGCUCCAUUUUAUAUGGCUUGUAUGUGAAGUCAUUGAAUUAUUCUUCAAAUUAAGACAAUCAAUUGUAUUAGGUGAGAUUUCAAUUGUGGAAGAUAUUUAAUAAUCGAUUUUAUAAAAGAUGUAUGAGAAUGAUAUUCAGGACAUAAUUGAAAUCUUCUACAUAGGUUUCAUCAGUUUCCACGUGUCCUUCUGCUCUCCAAUUAAACUGGUCCCCUGGUUUGAAAAUCGCUGAAAGCAUCCAAUGUAUUUUGGGAAUUAAUACCAUGUAGACCUGUUUGGUGCACAAAUUGCUCCCUAAUGAGACUUUAACCACUGAAAAUUAUUAAAUUUGCUCACAUUUUCGCUAAAUUAAUGGGUUCUAUCCUAUAGCUGGGGAAUAUCAAUAUUGAUUUUAGCUUUUUGGAUGCUUAGUUAAAAAUUUUGACGUACUGCCGUGCGCAAAAAUACACACUAUUUUCCACUCUACGUAAGUUUGAGGUCCUUUUUGAGAAAAAAAAUAAAAAAAAACAGAAAAAACAAAAAUAAAUACAAAAAAUAGAAAUUAUUAAAAAAGAGUAAUUUAGAAAAAUUGUUGUAAGUGUAGGAAAUUUAUUUUGAUCGGUUACUUUUCAAAUUGUAGGCUGGCAGGAUUGUUAAUAAAAGGUGAAGAUGAUAUAUUUUAUAUUUUGUGGCAAAUAUAGAGACAAGAAGCAAAAAUGGUAUUCUUUACUCUCAAGAAGUUGCUACACGUUAAUUUAAUAGUAAAUGUUAUUAAGCGUUAAGAUGAACAAAACAAACCAAUUUUAAGAUAAAUAGUGAAGAAAAUUUGCCUAUGUUUCUGUAUUAAGGACAAGGAUAUCAUUUUAAAUGGAUAAAACUUAUUUACUCAGCAAAAAGAAAGUUAAUAUUUGAAGUGAGAUGACAAACAAGACAAGAAGUAUAAGAGAAAUAAAAUUGAAUUUAGCAAAAGAAA